RNAcentral lists this ribosomal RNA (2909 nucleotides) under Klebsiella pneumoniae. Its description in RNAcentral is "bacterial LSU rRNA". It matches the Rfam family "Bacterial large subunit ribosomal RNA". The record is from RNAcentral. Lineage: Bacteria; Pseudomonadati; Pseudomonadota; Gammaproteobacteria; Enterobacterales; Enterobacteriaceae.
UUAAGCGACUAAGCGUACACGGUGGAUGCCCUGGCAGUCAGAGGCGAUGAAGGACGUGCUAAUCUGCGAAAAGCGUCGGUAAGGUGAUAUGAACCGUUAUAACCGGCGAUGUCCGAAUGGGGAAACCCAGUGCAAUUCGUUGCACUAUCGUUAACUGAAUACAUAGGUUAACGAGGCGAACCGGGGGAACUGAAACAUCUAAGUACCCCGAGGAAAAGAAAUCAACCGAGAUUCCCCCAGUAGCGGCGAGCGAACGGGGAGCAGCCCAGAGUCUGAAUCAGCUUGUGUGUUAGUGGAACGGUCUGGAAAGUCCGACGGUACAGGGUGAUAGUCCCGUACACCAAAAUGCACAGGCUGUGAACUCGAAGAGUAGGGCGGGACACGUGGUAUCCUGUCUGAAUAUGGGGGGACCAUCCUCCAAGGCUAAAUACUCCUGACUGACCGAUAGUGAACCAGUACCGUGAGGGAAAGGCGAAAAGAACCCCGGCGAGGGGAGUGAAAAAGAACCUGAAACCGUGUACGUACAAGCAGUGGGAGCACCUUCGGGUGUGACUGCGUACCUUUUGUAUAAUGGGUCAGCGACUUAUAUUCUGUAGCAAGGUUAACCGUAUAGGGGAGCCGCAGGGAAACCGAGUCUUAACUGGGCGUUAAGUUGCAGGGUAUAGACCCGAAACCCGGUGAUCUAGCCAUGGGCAGGUUGAAGGUUGGGUAACACUAACUGGAGGACCGAACCGACUAAUGUUGAAAAAUUAGCGGAUGACUUGUGGCUGGGGGUGAAAGGCCAAUCAAACCGGGAGAUAGCUGGUUCUCCCCGAAAGCUAUUUAGGUAGCGCCUCGUGAACUCAUCUUCGGGGGUAGAGCACUGUUUCGGCUAGGGGGUCAUCCCGACUUACCAACCCGAUGCAAACUACGAAUACCGAAGAAUGUUAUCACGGGAGACACACGGCGGGUGCUAACGUCCGUCGUGAAGAGGGAAACAACCCAGACCGCCAGCUAAGGUCCCAAAGUCAUGGUUAAGUGGGAAACGAUGUGGGAAGGCACAGACAGCCAGGAUGUUGGCUUAGAAGCAGCCAUCAUUUAAAGAAAGCGUAAUAGCUCACUGGUCGAGUCGGCCUGCGCGGAAGAUGUAACGGGGCUAAACCAUGCACCGAAGCUGCGGCAGCGACACUAUGUGUUGUUGGGUAGGGGAGCGUUCUGUAAGCCUGCGAAGGUGNNNNNNNNNNNNNNNNNNNNNUGCUGGAGGUAUCAGAAGUGCGAAUGCUGACAUAAGUAACGAUAAAGCGGGUGAAAAGCCCGCUCGCCGGAAGACCAAGGGUUCCUGUCCAACGUUAAUCGGGGCAGGGUGAGUCGACCCCUAAGGCGAGGCCGAAAGGCGUAGUCGAUGGGAAACAGGUUAAUAUUCCUGUACUUGGUGUUACUGCGAAGGGGGGACGGAGAAGGCUAUGUUAGCCGGGCGACGGUUGUCCCGGUUUAAGCAUGUAGGCUGGUUAUCCAGGCAAAUCCGGAUAAUCAAGGCUGAGGUGUGAUGACGAGGCACUACGGUGCUGAAGUAACAAAUGCCCUGCUUCCAGGAAAAGCCUCUAAGCAUCAGGUAACAUCAAAUCGUACCCCAAACCGACACAGGUGGUCAGGUAGAGAAUACCAAGGCGCUUGAGAGAACUCGGGUGAAGGAACUAGGCAAAAUGGUGCCGUAACUUCGGGAGAAGGCACGCUGGUGUGUAGGUGAAGCCCCUGCGGGUGGAGCUGAGACCAGUCGAAGAUACCAGCUGGCUGCAACUGUUUAUUAAAAACACAGCACUGUGCAAACACGAAAGUGGACGUAUACGGUGUGACGCCUGCCCGGUGCCGGAAGGUUAAUUGAUGGGGUUAUCCGUAAGGAGAAGCUCUUGAUCGAAGCCCCGGUAAACGGCGGCCGUAACUAUAACGGUCCUAAGGUAGCGAAAUUCCUUGUCGGGUAAGUUCCGACCUGCACGAAUGGCGUAAUGAUGGCCAGGCUGUCUCCACCCGAGACUCAGUGAAAUUGAACUCGCUGUGAAGAUGCAGUGUACCCGCGGCAAGACGGAAAGACCCCGUGAACCUUUACUAUAGCUUGACACUGAACAUUGAGCCUUGAUGUGUAGGAUAGGUGGGAGGCUUUGAAGCGUGGACGCCAGUCUGCGUGGAGCCAACCUUGAAAUACCACCCUUUAAUGUUUGAUGUUCUAACGUUGGCCCCUGACCGGGGUUGCGGACAGUGUCUGGUGGGUAGUUUGACUGGGGCGGUCUCCUCCCAAAGCGUAACGGAGGAGCACGAAGGUUAGCUAAUCCUGGUCGGACAUCAGGAGGUUAGUGCAAUGGCAUAAGCUAGCUUGACUGCGAGCGUGACGGCGCGAGCAGGUGCGAAAGCAGGUCAUAGUGAUCCGGUGGUUCUGAAUGGAAGGGCCAUCGCUCAACGGAUAAAAGGUACUCCGGGGAUAACAGGCUGAUACCGCCCAAGAGUUCAUAUCGACGGCGGUGUUUGGCACCUCGAUGUCGGCUCAUCACAUCCUGGGGCUGAAGUAGGUCCCAAGGGUAUGGCUGUUCGCCAUUUAAAGUGGUACGCGAGCUGGGUUUAGAACGUCGUGAGACAGUUCGGUCCCUAUCUGCCGUGGGCGCUGGAGAAUUGAGGGGGGCUGCUCCUAGUACGAGAGGACCGGAGUGGACGCAUCACUGGUGUUCGGGUUGUCAUGCCAAUGGCACUGCCCGGUAGCUAAAUGCGGAAGAGAUAAGUGCUGAAAGCAUCUAAGCACGAAACUUGCCCCGAGAUGAGUUCUCCCUGAGACUUUAAGUCUCCUGAAGGAACGUUGAAGACGACGACGUUGAUAGGCCGGGUGUGUAAGCGCAGCGAUGCGUUGAGCUAACCGGUACUAAUGAACCGUGAGGCUUAACCUU